RNAcentral lists this ribosomal RNA (510 nucleotides) under uncultured bacterium. RNAcentral describes it as "partial 16S ribosomal RNA". It matches the Rfam family "Bacterial small subunit ribosomal RNA", at positions 28 to 507 of the family's 1533-position model. The record is from RNAcentral.
GACGAACGCUGGCGGCGUGCUUAACACAUGCAAGUCGAACGAAGAGCGAUGGAAGCUUGCUUCUAUCAAUCUUAGUGGCGAACGGGUGAGUAACGCGUAAUCAACCUGCCCUUCAGAGGGGGACAACAGUUGGAAACGACUGCUAAUACUGCAUACGAUCUAAUCUCGGCAUCGAGGAAAGAUGAAAGGUGGCCUCUAUUUAUAAGCUAUCACUGAAGGAGGGGAUUGCGUCUGAUUAGCUAGUUGGAGGGGUAACGGCCCACCAAGGCGAUGAUCAGUAGCCGGUCUGAGAGGAUGAACGGCCACAUUGGGACUGAGACACGGCCCAGACUCCUACGGGAGGCAGCAGUGGGGAAUCUUCCGCAAUGGACGAAAGUCUGACGGAGCAACGCCGCGUGAGUGAUGACGGCCUUCGGGUUGUAAAGCUCUGUUAAUCGGGACGAAAGGCCUUCUUGCGAACAGUUAGAAGGAUUGACGGUACCGGAAUAGAAAGCCACGGCUAACUACGUG